RNAcentral lists this small nuclear RNA (313 nucleotides) under Castor canadensis (American beaver). Its description in RNAcentral is "7SK RNA (ENSCCNG00000018911.1)". It matches the Rfam family "7SK RNA". From Rfam's summary of the family: 7SK was discovered as an abundant small nuclear RNA in the mid-70s but a possible function has only recently been suggested. Two independent studies have found that 7SK RNA binds the CDK9/cyclin T complex (known as elongation factor P-TEFb). Lineage: Eukaryota; Metazoa; Chordata; Mammalia; Rodentia; Castoridae. The record is from Rfam by way of RNAcentral.
GGAUGUGAGGGUGAUCUGGUUGUGACAUCUGUCACUCCAUUGAUUGCCAGGGUUGAUGCGGCUGAUCUGGCUGGCUAGGCAGGUGUCCCCUUCCUUCCUCACCGCUCCAUGUGCGUCCCUCCCCUAAGCUGCACACUCGGUCCAAGAAGAUGACCAUCCCUGAUAGAGGAGGACCGUUCUUUGGUCAAAGGUAUAUGAGUAGCUGCGCUCCCCUGCUAGAACCUCCAAACAAGCUCUCAAACCCCAGUACUGCAAAAAAAAAAAAAAGUGUGUCAGGGCUGGCAGAGUGGCUCAAGUGGUAGAGUGCCUGCCU